UUCCGGUUGAUCCUGCCGGAGGUUACUGCUAUCGAGGUUCGACUAAGCCAUGCGAGUCGAAUGUAGCAAUACAUGGCGAACUGCUCAGUAACACGUGGACAACCUGCCCUUAGGACGGGGAUAAACCCGGGAAACUGGGUAUAAUACCCGAUAGGUCUCGAUUGCUGGAAUGCAUCGAGAUUUAAAGCUCCGGCGCCUAAGGAUGGGUCUGCGGCCUAUCAGGUAGUAGUGGGUGUAGCGUACCUACUAGCCUACGACGGGUACGGGUUGUGAGAGCAAGAGCCCGGAGAUGGAUUCUGAGACACGAAUCCAGGCCCUACGGGGUGCAGCAGGCGCGAAAACUUUACAAUGCUGGCAACAGCGAUAAGGGAACCUCGAGUGCCAGGUUACAAAUCUGGCUGUCGAGAUGCCUAAAAAGCAUUUCAUAGCAAGGGCCGGGCAAGACCGGUGCCAGCCGCCGCGGUAACACCGGCGGCUCGAGUGGUAACCGUUAUUAUUGGGUCUAAAGGGUCUGUAGCCGGCCGGAUAAGUCUCUUGAGAAAUCUGGCAGCUUAACUGUCAGGCUUUCAGGAGAUACUGUCUGGCUCGAGGCCGGGAGAGGUGAGAGGUACUUCAGGGGUAGGGGUGAAAUCUUGCAAUCCUUGAAGGACCACCAGUGGCGAAGGCGUCUCACCAGAACGGACCUGACGGCAAGGGACGAAAGCUAGGGGCACGAACCGGAUUAGAUACCCGGGUAGUCCUAGCCGUAAACGAUACUCGCUAGGUGUCGGCCACGGUGCGACCGUUGUCGGUGCCGUAGGGAAGCCGUGAAGCGAGCCACCUGGGAAGUACGGCCGCAAGGCUGAAACUUAAAGGAAUUGGCGGGGGAGCACCACAACGGGUGGAGCUUGCGGUUUAAUUGGAUUCAACGCCCGG
This 915-nucleotide ribosomal RNA is filed under the name uncultured archaeon. RNAcentral's name for it is "bacterial SSU rRNA". It matches the Rfam family "Archaeal small subunit ribosomal RNA", at positions 1 to 922 of the family's 1478-position model. The record is from RNAcentral.